Molecule: transfer RNA, 66 nt
Filed under: Nesophrosyne sp. 58 GMB-2012
Lineage: Eukaryota; Metazoa; Arthropoda; Insecta; Hemiptera; Cicadellidae
Description: tRNA-Cys
Rfam family: tRNA
About the family: Transfer RNA (tRNA) molecules are approximately 80 nucleotides in length.
Source: RNAcentral
GGUCUUAUAGUUUAAUAAAAACUUUAAAUUGCAAAUUUAAAAAUGUUAUCAUAUCUUCUAAGACUU